This 274-nucleotide ribosomal RNA is filed under the name uncultured bacterium. RNAcentral's name for it is "partial 16S ribosomal RNA". It matches the Rfam family "Bacterial small subunit ribosomal RNA", at positions 523 to 796 of the family's 1533-position model. The record is from RNAcentral.
AUACGGAGGGUGCAAGCGUUAAUCGGAAUUACUGGGCGUAAAGCGCGCGUAGGCGGUUUGCCAAGUCAGAUGUGAAAGCCCUGGGCUCAACCUGGGAACUGCAUUUGAAACUGGUAAACUAGAGUUUGGUAGAGGGUGACGGAAUUCCAGGUGUAGCGGUGAAAUGCGUAGAUAUCUGGAGGAACAUCAGUGGCGAAGGCGGUUGCCUGGACCAAAACUGACGCUGAGGUGCGAAAGCGUGGGGAGCAAACAGGAUUAGAAACCCCAGUAGUCC